AUUCGAUCGCUUACACUAUCUAUUGUCACUUCAACCUCGAAUCAGA
This 46-nucleotide ribosomal RNA is filed under the name Halomonhystera disjuncta. RNAcentral describes it as "partial 28S ribosomal RNA". The record is from RNAcentral. Lineage: Eukaryota; Metazoa; Nematoda; Chromadorea; Monhysterida; Monhysteridae.